GGAGUUGAACGGGUAAUCGCUGCUUUGCUGAUGUCCUUCGGGAGACUGACGUUGAGGUCCUUCGGGAAACUGACGUUGAAGUCCUUCGGGAGACUGGUAGAGGGGAGGAACGUCCGGGCUCCAUAGAGCAGGGUGCCAGGUAACGCCUGGGUAGCGCGAGCUAACGACAAGUGCAGCAGAGAGGAAACCGCCUAAGUUUAUUAUGAUGUUUCAUUGUAGUAGACCGGUAAGGGUGAAAGGGUGCGGUAAGAGCGCACCGUGCGACUGGCAACAGUUCGUAGCAAGGUAAACUCCACCCGGAGCAAGA
Molecule: RNase P RNA, 307 nt
Filed under: Vibrio sp.
Lineage: Bacteria; Pseudomonadati; Pseudomonadota; Gammaproteobacteria; Vibrionales; Vibrionaceae
Description: partial RNase P RNA component class A
Rfam family: Bacterial RNase P class A
About the family: Ribonuclease P (RNase P) is a ubiquitous endoribonuclease, found in archaea, bacteria and eukarya as well as chloroplasts and mitochondria. Its best characterised activity is the generation of mature 5'-ends of tRNAs by cleaving the 5'-leader elements of precursor-tRNAs.
Source: RNAcentral